GUGCCAGCCGCCGCGGUAACACGUAGGGGGCGAGCGUUGUCCGGAUUUAUUGGGCGUAAAGAGCUCGUAGGCGGCUCGGUAAGUCGGGUGUGAAACCUCCAGGCUCAACCUGGAGACGCCACCUGAUACUGCUGUGGCUAGAGUCCGGUAGGGGAGUGUGGAACUCCUGGUGUAGCGGUGAAAUGCGCAGAUAUCAGGAAGAACACCAGCGGCGAAGGCGGCACUCUGGGCCGGAACUGACGCUGAGGAGCGAAAGCGUGGGUAGCAAACAGGAUUAGAUACCCUUGUAGUCC
Molecule: ribosomal RNA, 293 nt
Filed under: uncultured bacterium
Lineage: Bacteria
Description: partial 16S ribosomal RNA
Rfam family: Bacterial small subunit ribosomal RNA
Source: RNAcentral